AGUGAACGCUGGCGGUAGGCCUAACACAUGCAAGUCGAACGGCAGCACAGUAAGAGCUUGCUCUUACGGGUGGCGAGUGGCGGACGGGUGAGGAAUACAUCGGAAUCUACUUUUUCGUGGGGGAUAACGUAGGGAAACUUACGCUAAUACCGCAUACGACCUACGGGUGAAAGCAGGGGAUCUUCGGACCUUGCGCGAUUGAAUGAGCCGAUGUCGGAUUAGCUAGUUGGCGGGGUAAAGGCCCACCAAGGCGACGAUCCGUAGCUGGUCUGAGAGGAUGAUCAGCCACACUGGAACUGUGACACGGUCCAGACUCCUACGGGAGGCAGCAGUGGGGAAUAUUGGACAAUGGGCGCAAGCCUGAUCCAGCCAUACCGCGUGGGUGAAGAAGGCCUUCGGGUUGUAAAGCCCUUUUGUUGGGAAAGAAAAGCAGCAGGUUAAUACCCCGCUGUUCUGACGGUACCCAAAGAAUAAGCACCGGCUAACUUCGU
This 491-nucleotide ribosomal RNA is filed under the name uncultured bacterium. Its description in RNAcentral is "partial 16S ribosomal RNA". It matches the Rfam family "Bacterial small subunit ribosomal RNA", at positions 29 to 506 of the family's 1533-position model. The record is from RNAcentral.